Molecule: long non-coding RNA, 264 nt
Filed under: Manihot esculenta (cassava)
Lineage: Eukaryota; Viridiplantae; Streptophyta; Magnoliopsida; Malpighiales; Euphorbiaceae
Description: long non-coding RNA (MESC_LNC009882)
Source: RNAcentral
GGAGGGCCACCCAACCCCGUUUUUAGUCUUCUCGCCAAUUCUUGCGUCGCAAACUGCCAAAAUUCCAGCAAUGGAAAAAGCCAUUGAUUCGUCUCUCGCCCAAAAGUUGUUAAAUUUGGGCCAGGAAGUAUUAGCGAGUCGAGAAUUGGCCCAAACUUUUAAAACAAUAUGAUGGUCCAGAACUUUUCUUUUUCUCCCAAAGAUAGAUGAAGAUUCAUCAUUGAUACAGAACAUUACAUUCAAACCUAGGUCGUCAGAAAGAAU